Non-coding RNA from Megaselia scalaris, 45 nucleotides. NCBI's taxonomy places the organism in Eukaryota, Metazoa, Arthropoda, Insecta, Diptera, Phoridae. The record is from Rfam.
AGACCGGUCCUUUUCAGGACCAUCAAUUAUUUUUUAAAGAGUUUG